CCUACGGGUGGCUGCAGUGGGGAAUAUUGCACAAUGGGCGCAAGCCUGAUGCAGCCAUGCCGCGUGUGUGAAGAAGGCCUUCGGGUUGUAAAGCACUUUCAGCGGGGAGGAAGGCGUUAAGGUUAAUAACCUUGUCGAUUGACGUUACCCGCAGAAGAAGCACCGGCUAACUCCGUGCCAGCAGCCGCGGUAAUACGGAGGGUGCAAGCGUUAAUCGGAAUUACUGGGCGUAAAGCGCACGCAGGCGGUCUGUCAAGUCGGAUGUGAAAUCCCCGGGCUCAACCUGGGAACUGCAUUCGAAACUGGCAGGCUAGAGUCUUGUAGAGGGGGGUAGAAUUCCAGGUGUAGCGGUGAAAUGCGUAGAGAUCUGGAGGAAUACCGGUGGCGAAGGCGGCCCCCUGGACAAAGACUGACGCUCAGGUGCGAAAGCGUGGGGAGCAAACAGGAUUAGAUACCCCUGUAGAC
This 465-nucleotide ribosomal RNA is filed under the name uncultured Klebsiella sp. RNAcentral's name for it is "bacterial SSU rRNA". It matches the Rfam family "Bacterial small subunit ribosomal RNA", at positions 338 to 795 of the family's 1533-position model. Lineage: Bacteria; Pseudomonadati; Pseudomonadota; Gammaproteobacteria; Enterobacterales; Enterobacteriaceae. The record is from RNAcentral.